This is a non-coding RNA of Gossypium hirsutum (cotton), 106 nucleotides long. The record is from Rfam. NCBI's taxonomy places the organism in Eukaryota, Viridiplantae, Streptophyta, Magnoliopsida, Malvales, Malvaceae.
AUUCCAUGAUGAGGACACUUACGAAGUAACUCCUUGAACCUCUCCCAAGCCUCACACAAAGACUCGUCAUCUAAUUAUCAAAAAGUGUGAUCUCAUUCCUCAACUU